AAAGUUUGAUCCUGGCUCASAGUGAACSCUGGCGGCGUGCUUAACAYAUGCAAGUCGAACGAWGAAGUCCUUCGGGAUGGAUUAGUGGCGCACGGGUGAGUAAUAUAUAGUUAAUGUACCUUCAAGACUGGGAUAGCCACUGGAAACGGUGAUUAAUACUAGAUAUACCUCUCUAACAUAAGUUAGAGUGGGAAAUGUUUUUUCGCUUGAAGAUCASACUAUAUCCCAUCAGUUUGUUGGUGAGGUAAUGGCUCACCAAGGCAAUGACGGGUAGCGGGUUUGAGAGGAUGAUCCGCCACACUGGUACUGAGACACGGACCAGACUCCUACGGGAGGCAGCAGUGAGGAAUAUUGCACAAUGGGGGAAACCCUGAUGCAGCAACGCCGCGUGGAGGAUGACGCAUUUCGGUGUGUAAACUCYUUUUAUGAGUCAAGAAAAUGACMGUAGCUCAUGAAUAAGCACCGGCUAACUCCGUGCCAGCAGCCGCGGUAAUACGGAGGGUGCAAGCGUUACUCGGAAUCACUGGGCGUAAAGGACGCGUAGGCGGGUUGGUAAGUCAGAUGUGAAAUCCUACAGCUCAACUGUASAACUGCAUUUGAAACUACCGACCUAGAGUAUGGGAGGGGGGAGAUGGAAUUAGUGGUGUAGGGGUAAAAUCCGUAGAUAUCACUAGGAAUACCMRAAAGCGAAGGCGAUCUCYUGGAACAUUACUGACGCUA
RNAcentral lists this ribosomal RNA (720 nucleotides) under uncultured bacterium. RNAcentral describes it as "bacterial SSU rRNA". It matches the Rfam family "Bacterial small subunit ribosomal RNA", at positions 8 to 748 of the family's 1533-position model. The record is from RNAcentral.